UACGUAGGUGGCAAGCGUUGUCCGGAAUUAUUGGGCGUAAAGCGCGCGCAGGCGGUCCUUUAAGUCUGAUGUGAAAGCCCACGGCUCAACCGUGGAGGGUCAUUGGAAACUGGGGGACUUGAGUGCAGGAGAGAAAAGUGGAAUUCCACGUGUAGCGGUGAAAUGCGUAGAGAUGUGGAGGAACACCAGUGGCGAAGGCGACUCUUUGGUCUGUAACUGACGCUGAGGCGCGAAAGCGUGGGGAGCAAACAGG
This 253-nucleotide ribosomal RNA is filed under the name uncultured bacterium. RNAcentral describes it as "partial 16S ribosomal RNA". It matches the Rfam family "Bacterial small subunit ribosomal RNA", at positions 524 to 776 of the family's 1533-position model. The record is from RNAcentral.